UGCAUUCAUUGUGCUAUUUGUUGCCU
Molecule: non-coding RNA, 26 nt
Filed under: Homo sapiens (human)
Lineage: Eukaryota; Metazoa; Chordata; Mammalia; Primates; Hominidae
Source: RNAcentral